ACACCACCAUCAUCAUAUGACGUGAUCUUUCAGGAUCUUGUUCUGGAAGAGUGUGAUUCUUCCAGUGGUUAUACAUCUAUCUAAAAAACCCCGGAAGGCAUCCCUUCCGGGGUUUUUUUUA
Non-coding RNA from Psychromonas sp. CNPT3, 121 nucleotides. The record is from Rfam. Lineage: Bacteria; Pseudomonadati; Pseudomonadota; Gammaproteobacteria; Alteromonadales; Psychromonadaceae.